Molecule: ribosomal RNA, 253 nt
Filed under: uncultured bacterium
Lineage: Bacteria
Description: partial 16S ribosomal RNA
Rfam family: Bacterial small subunit ribosomal RNA
Source: RNAcentral
UACAGAGGCGGCAAGCGUUGUUCGGAAUUACUGGGCGUAAAGGGCGCGUAGGCGGUCAGGUCAGUCCCGUGUGAAAUCCCUCGGCUCAACUGAGGAACUGCACGGGAAACUACCUGGCUUGAGUUCGGGAGAGGGAAGCGGAAUUCCGGGUGUAGCGGUGAAAUGCGUAGAUAUCCGGAGGAACACCGGUGGCGAAGGCGGCUUCCUGGACCGACACUGACGCUGAGGCGCGAAAGCUAGGGGAGCAAACGGG